Molecule: ribosomal RNA, 484 nt
Filed under: uncultured bacterium
Lineage: Bacteria
Description: partial 16S ribosomal RNA
Rfam family: Bacterial small subunit ribosomal RNA
Source: RNAcentral
AUUGAACGCUGGCGGCAGGCCUAACACAUGCGAGUCGAGCGGAUGAAGGGAGCUUGCUCCUGGAUUCAGCGGCGGACGGGUGAGUAAUGCCUAGGAAUCUGCCUGGUAGUGGGGGAUAACGUCCGGAAACGGGCGCUAAUACCGCAUACGUCCUGAGGGAGAAAGUGGGGGAUCUUCGGACCUCACGCUAUCAGAUGAGCCUAGGUCGGAUUAGCUAGUUGGUGGGGUAAAGGCCUACCAAGGCGACGAUCCGUAACUGGUCUGAGAGGAUGAUCAGUCACCCUUGAACUGGGACACGGUCCAGGCUCCUACGGGAGGCAGCAGUGGGGAAUUUUUGACAAUGGGCGGAAGCCUGAUCCAGGCAUGGCGCGUGGGGGAAGAAAGUCCUCGGAUUGUAAAGCACUUUAAGUUGGGAGGAAGGGCAGUAAGUUAAUACCUUGCUGUUUUGACGUUACCAACAGAAUAAGCACCGGCUAACUUCGUG